This 216-nucleotide long non-coding RNA is filed under the name Linum usitatissimum (flax). Its description in RNAcentral is "long non-coding RNA (LUSI_LNC005814)". Lineage: Eukaryota; Viridiplantae; Streptophyta; Magnoliopsida; Malpighiales; Linaceae. The record is from RNAcentral.
UUCGUUUUUUUUUUUUUUUUUUUUUUUUUUUUUUUUGUUUUUUCUCUUUUGCUUUCUAUGCUUUGGUUUAGUGUUCGGAUAACACUCUUUCUAGUAGAUCUUUUUUCAUUUUUCUUUGCUAGCCCGGUCAGUGCGGAUAUAGAGGUCGUACGGGGUUCAGUGCUUUACAGAAGAUCAUCCCCAUGCAAUCCACAUUAGGUGGAUCGCCUUCUGUUG